RNAcentral lists this ribosomal RNA (434 nucleotides) under uncultured bacterium. RNAcentral's name for it is "bacterial SSU rRNA". It matches the Rfam family "Bacterial small subunit ribosomal RNA", at positions 29 to 507 of the family's 1533-position model. The record is from RNAcentral.
AACGAACGCUGGCGGCAGGCCUAACACAUGCAAGUCGAGCGAACCCUUCGGGGUUAGCGGCGGACGGGUUAGUAACGCGUGGGAAUAUACCCUUUGGUACGGAAUAGCCUCGGGAAACUGAGAGUAAUACCGUAUGUGCCCCUUGGGGGAAAGAUUUAUCGCCAAAGGAUUAGCCCGCGUUGGAUUAGGUAGUUGGUGGGGUAAUGGCCUACCAAGCCUACGAUCCAUAGCUGGUUUGAGAGGAUGAUCAGCAACACUGGGACUGAGACACGGCCCAGACUCCUACGGGAGGCAGCAGUGGGGAAUCUUAGACAAUGGGCGCAAGCCUGAUCUAGCCAUGCCGCGUGGACGAUGAAGGUCUUAGGGUUGUAAAGUCCUUUCAGAUGGGAAGAUAAUGACGGUACCAUCAGAAGAAGCCCCCGGCUAACUCCGUG